RNAcentral lists this long non-coding RNA (1467 nucleotides) under Macaca fascicularis (crab-eating macaque). RNAcentral describes it as "lncRNA (ENSMFAG00000053702.1)". The record is from RNAcentral. Lineage: Eukaryota; Metazoa; Chordata; Mammalia; Primates; Cercopithecidae.
GGGUGGGAGGCUGUGCCCCUCUGGGAGGCACAGGCUGGCACGACCUGCUCCUUGGACUUCCAGGGCUGGGUUCUGGGAGGGGGGAUGGGAGGGGCCGAGGAAAGCUGGCUGGAUUCGGGGCCCUUGGGGGGCCGAGCCGGGGUCGCCACCCAGAAGCAUCUCGCCUCUGCUGCCCUGACUGUAAUUCGGAGGGCUGCCCUGUGGUCCAAAUGCACCACCCCCCACCUGGCACCCUGCAUUGUGGAGCUUAGUGGCCCCAGUCAGCUUUCAUCUGCUUCCUUCUCCCCCUGAGCUCCUUCCAGAGGCCCCAGAGGAGCCUGUGCAUUGGGGCAUGUUACUUCCCGCAGACCUCAGUGGGCCUCUGCAUGUCCCAUGAUCCCACCCUCCCUGGAGGACCGAGAGGAACUUCAGGGAGACAGAGAGGGAGCCACAGGCUUCCUUGAUUGAAGCCAGAGUGAGCCAGGCUUUUCCUAGCCCCAAGAGAACCCCCCAGAUACAAAACUCAGGCCUCCCCCAGUGAGACUCCACUGUAUGUCCCAAGAAGAGGAUACCCAGGUCACCCCAAAGCCUGACAUAAUCAGUACCCUCAACCUCUAUCUCCCAACUGAAAAAAAAGUUCUCCCCAGCAAUAAGACUGAUGGAGGACUGGCUUUUAAGUCCCCUCCCACCUCUGCAGGAAGAAAGCAUAAAGCUAUGUAAUACAGAGAGCGUGCUGAGGUUAAAAUGAGCCGCCAGUGAGUGAGGAUGCAAGUGGAUGUGGUAGGAUUGGGAAGGCCGGGAAAGCCCUGGGUGACAAGGAGCUUAGGGCCAUCUACCCCAGCAGUUCUCAGCCUGACCACACCUUAGGGGAAAAAAAUACUCAUGCCAGGCCAUAUUCCUGGAAUCGAAGUGUAUUUAAAUCUCCUCGGGUGAUUCUAAAGGGUUGACAGGAUUAGAAUCGCUGAGCUGAUCUGAGGAGGGCAAGUGUGGCCACACGCAUGCCCCUACUCCCCUCUCCCUGGCCCCAUGCAGACAUCACAAAUCAAUUGAAGAGCCCUUCCUGCCUAUCCCAAAGUGGCCUCUGAUUUCUCACUUUACAUAGCCUCAGAUAGCCACGGCCAGUCAAUCGCAGUUGGCAUACAAGAAUAAAGCCUUUUUGCCCUCUCAAAAUGAACCCCAUCUCUCAUGCUGGACACAUGGCAAAAACUUUGGCCCAGAGAGGAAUAACUUCGCCAGCGUCCUAGCUAUUGUGCCUCAUCCUGGGACCUUCUCAAGAGCCAGGCCACACCUUAUUUGGGUCUUCGUAGCUCCACUCAAAAGCCACCAUACCUCCUUUGUUAAAAGAAUCUUCUCCAGGGAGGCUGAGGCAGGAGAAUGGUGUGAACCCGGGAGUUGGAGCUUGCAGUGAGCUGAGUUUGCACCACUGCACUCCAACCUGGGUGACAGAGUGAGACUCCAUCUCAAAAAUAAAAAUAAAAAAUAAAAAAA